RNAcentral lists this transfer RNA (72 nucleotides) under Stichococcus bacillaris. Its description in RNAcentral is "tRNA-His". It matches the Rfam family "tRNA". Rfam says of the family: Transfer RNA (tRNA) molecules are approximately 80 nucleotides in length. Their secondary structure includes four short double-helical elements and three loops (D, anti-codon, and T loops). Lineage: Eukaryota; Viridiplantae; Chlorophyta; Trebouxiophyceae; Prasiolales; Stichococcaceae. The record is from RNAcentral.
GUGGGUGUCGCCAAGUGGUAAGGCACUGGACUGUGACUCCAGCAUUCGCGGGUUCAAACCCCGUCGCUCAUC